GGUGUACUAUGUUUCCUACUAGAUGUCAAAGUUCUCUGGAGCUGUCACUGUCAUAUGUUGAUUUUCAGCUCAAAUUUUCUUCACCAACGAAAUUUAUUUCAAGGGAAAAAUAUUGAUCUAUAAUAUGUUUACCAGACUAUUAAAAAGAACUGUGCUAUUGUCAGCAGCACCAGUAACAGCUGCAGCAAAAGGAACCGAAAAUGAGCCACAAAAGCAAACUGUCCUUAAACCACAUGAAUUGCCCAUCUAUACCACGAUUUUUGGAAGUGAUAUUAAAAAUGCUCCGAAAACAGAUACCGACAGCACAAUUGUUCGAUCAUCGAUUGAAGGCGCUGUUGAAGUAGUUCGCGAAUGUUGCUGUGACUGCAUCAAUGCUGUCAAAGACAAGAAAAAGCCUAUCGACGAAUUUGUUGCGACAGGAAUCGAACAUAGUCAAUGUAGGUUCAUUUCAAUAAUCAAGAGUGUAAAACUCAUUUCAUAAAUUUUAUUUAUAGUAAACAGUACGUAUUUUGCAUUAAAGAUAAUAGGGUGGGCAUAUUUUGAAAAUUGAAGAAACAAAAGAUUACAGGGGCGCAUUUCAUAGAUCUUAUUGUUCGACGUAUUUUUCGACAUAAAAGUCAUAUAAACCUGUAUAAAAUGAAACCAGAUAUCGAUUCUUCGCCAAAAAAUAAGCGAUUAAAUCAUUAUUUUAUACGGGAACUGGCUAAACGUAUAUAUAUAUCGAAUAUGGUAAAAAAAGUUGCUGAAAAUCCGACACGGAGUUUCAUUUUAUAUGUCGGCAAUUCCACACAAAAUCAGAGAAGAGUUGUAAUGUGGGGUCGCCGAAUUGAAUGAAGAUUUUACAUAUAAAACGCUGAAUUGAGCCGAAAUCGGUAAACCAAUUGGUAUAUU
Molecule: long non-coding RNA, 891 nt
Organism: Sitodiplosis mosellana (orange wheat blossom midge)
Lineage: Eukaryota; Metazoa; Arthropoda; Insecta; Diptera; Cecidomyiidae
Exons: 4
Source: RefSeq, a predicted model, not a curated record